AGCGAACGCUGGCGGCAGGCUUAACACAUGCAAGUCGAACGGGCAUCCUCGGAUGUCAGUGGCAGACGGGUGAGUAACACGUGGGAACGUACCCUUCGGUUCGGAAUAACUCAGGGAAACUUGAGCUAAUACCGGAUACGCCCUUUUGGGGAAAGGUUUACUGCCGAAGGAUCGGCCCGCGUCUGAUUAGCUUGUUGGUGGGGUAACGGCCUACCAAGGCGACGAUCAGUAGCUGGUCUGAGAGGAUGAUCAGCCACACUGGGACUGAGACACGGCCCAGACUCCUACGGGAGGCAGCAGUGGGGAAUAUUGGACAAUGGGCGCAAGCCUGAUCCAGCCAUGCCGCGUGAGUGAUGAAGGCCUUAGGGUUGUAAAGCUCUUUUGUCCGGGACGAUAAUGACGGUACCGGAAGAAUAAGCCCCGGCUAACUUCGU
RNAcentral lists this ribosomal RNA (434 nucleotides) under uncultured bacterium. RNAcentral's name for it is "partial 16S ribosomal RNA". It matches the Rfam family "Bacterial small subunit ribosomal RNA", at positions 29 to 506 of the family's 1533-position model. The record is from RNAcentral.